Macrostomum lignano is the source of this 72-nucleotide non-coding RNA. The record is from Rfam. NCBI's taxonomy places the organism in Eukaryota, Metazoa, Platyhelminthes, Macrostomidae.
GCGAGUGUGGUGUAACGGUUAGCAUGGAUGCCUUCCAAGCAUUCGACCCGGGUUCGACUCCCGGCACUCGCA